This is a non-coding RNA of Danio rerio (zebrafish), 54 nucleotides long. The record is from Rfam. Lineage: Eukaryota; Metazoa; Chordata; Actinopteri; Cypriniformes; Danionidae.
UGCCUCAUUGAUUGUAAGAUGCUUUGGACAAAAGCAUCUGCUAAAUGACUAAAU